Molecule: long non-coding RNA, 1140 nt
Organism: Brassica napus (rape)
Lineage: Eukaryota; Viridiplantae; Streptophyta; Magnoliopsida; Brassicales; Brassicaceae
Exons: 2
Source: RefSeq, a predicted model, not a curated record
GAAACACGACAGAGAGAAGAGAGAAGAAGAAGAUAGAUGAGAGAUUGCAGGAGGAGGAAGAAGGGACCGGCCUGAGUUCGUCGCCAUCGUCACCAGUCUGAGUUCGUCGCCAUCGUCAGGAGUCUGAUUUCGUCGCCAUCGUCACCUGUCUUUACUCAUCGUAACUUUGUUCUUCCGGAAUCUGUACUCCUCCUGAGAACGCCUCUCCCCUCUGCAGAGCCGAAUCCGAACCCAACCACCUGAGCUCAUGGUUCAAUCUCCUCCUCAACGCCCUCGCUACUCAAUCUCCUCUCGUGUUUGCUCCUCCGGUUCUCUCUCUCUCUCUCUCUCUCUCUCUCCAGAUUCACUUUCCCAAAACAACAGAUCUGAGCUCGAACCUUUUUGUUGUUUACCGAUUCUCCUCCGGUCAAUUAGAAUGAAUCUUCGGAUGCUUUGACUGAUCCAUCCGGUCAAACGGUCUCUAUCUCUAUUUCCUUGUGCAGAGAAGGAGAAAAUCGUUUCUUCUUCUUCUUCACUUAUCUGAAACAAGACAUGUUUCUUCUUCUCAAUCCUCGGGGCGAAGAUGAUUUCACCAAAACCCAUCUCCAGCAAGUGCUCAAGUUGUAUAGUAAAGAGCUACCAGACAAGAACUACCACUACAAGAAAACAUGCAUUUCCCGACUGCAAAAUCAGUAGCUAAUCAGUCGCAAAAUGUACGGUUACGACUGAUUUGCGACUGAUACAUGUAGUCACAAAUCAACGUGUCGCAAAAACUAUCAGUCGUAAAUCAGUCGCAAUUUUACGACUGAUUUGAGACUAAUUUGCGAUUAAUGUUAUUGGUCAUAAAUCCGUCGCAGUUCAGACGCCAAAUUUUACGACUGAAUUACGACUUCUUUUGCGAGAACGGAUUGUAGUCGUUAUUUGGUCGCAAUAUUUAGUGACUAAUUUACUACUACAGUUUUAGAAUCACCGUUGCUAAUUAGUCGCAAAACGAAAAAUUAAAACAAAAAAAAAAUUAAAAUUAAAAUUAAUAAAUUUAUUAAAAUUUAAAAUGAUUUAUAUAUAUUAAACUGGUUUAAAUUAAAACUGAGACAGAUACAUAAUUACAUAAAUACAAAAAGAAAAACUAAAUCAAAGACCAAAACUAUUUGGUCAAGAAAA